GACGAACGCUGGCGGCGUGCUUAACACAUGCAAGUCGAACGGAAAGGCCCUGCUUUUGUGGGGUGCUCGAGUGGCGAACGGGUGAGUAACACGUGAGUAACCUGCCCUUGACUUUGGGAUAACUUCAGGAAACUGGGGCUAAUACCGGAUAGGAGCUCCUGCUGCAUGGUGGUGGUUGGAAAGUUUCGGCGGUUGGGGAUGGACUCGCGGCUUAUCAGCUUGUUGGUGGGGUAGUGGCUUACCAAGGCUUUGACGGGUAGCCGGCCUGAGAGGGUGACCGGCCACAUUGGGACUGAGAUACGGCCCAGACUCCUACGGGAGGCAGCAGUGGGGAAUAUUGCACAAUGGGCGGAAGCCUGAUGCAGCAACGCCGCGUGCGGGAUGAUGGCCUUCGGGUUGUAAACCGCUUUCGCCUGUGACGAAGCGUGAGUGACGGUAAUGGGUAAAGAAGCACCGGCUAACUACGUG
Molecule: ribosomal RNA, 468 nt
Filed under: uncultured bacterium
Lineage: Bacteria
Description: partial 16S ribosomal RNA
Rfam family: Bacterial small subunit ribosomal RNA
Source: RNAcentral